GGGAGUGUGGUUCAGUGGUAGAGCGCUUGCCUAGCAUGCAUGAAGCCCUGGGUUCAAUUCCUCAGUACCA
This 70-nucleotide transfer RNA is filed under the name Dipodomys ordii (Ord's kangaroo rat). It matches the Rfam family "tRNA". From Rfam's summary of the family: Transfer RNA (tRNA) molecules are approximately 80 nucleotides in length. Their secondary structure includes four short double-helical elements and three loops (D, anti-codon, and T loops). The record is from Rfam by way of RNAcentral. Lineage: Eukaryota; Metazoa; Chordata; Mammalia; Rodentia; Heteromyidae.